CUGGCAAACCCGGAAUCACUAACCCGAUAACUCUGAAGCAUCUGAAGAACCAUCCUUCUCUGUACUCGGGACCCUUCCAGUGCGGUUGAAGUAAUUCUUGUUCGGUUCUUCUUCAUCGACCUGAGCGACAAAUAUCAGAUAUUACAUCAGUCCAUACCCCCGAGUUUCGUAUCCCAAAAUCGUGGUAAGUUUGUAUUUUUUAACUGACCUUUCCUCUAUAGAAACUGUCGAAGUAAAGGCAAGGGCCGAAGUGCUUGAACAGGAGUGUCUUAUCGUCGAAAGUGUAAACGCCUUCGAGACUCUUCAGCAUUUUCUCCUCUUCGUGCAUCGCUAACAAGCCCGUGAACAGAAUCGCCAGUGCCCCGCCGAGGCUGUGGCCAGACAGGAUGAAUCUCGAGGUUUAUUUCCUUAGGCCAUCCAUCUUUCUGCAGGCCUAAUGCUUUCAUGAACCCACCAUGGAUCCUUCCCACGUUCUUCAGUUCGUACCUGUUGGAAACACACAUCGAUGCACAUGCCAAAAAAUUAAAA
Molecule: long non-coding RNA, 528 nt
Organism: Tarenaya hassleriana
Lineage: Eukaryota; Viridiplantae; Streptophyta; Magnoliopsida; Brassicales; Cleomaceae
Exons: 4
Source: RefSeq, a predicted model, not a curated record